RNAcentral lists this long non-coding RNA (238 nucleotides) under Pan troglodytes (chimpanzee). RNAcentral's name for it is "long non-coding RNA NONPTRT005956". The record is from RNAcentral. Lineage: Eukaryota; Metazoa; Chordata; Mammalia; Primates; Hominidae.
AAAAUUAAAGAACAGCGAGUUCUCACGUUGAAUAUAAUGCUGGCCUUUUUUUGUCUCUCGCAGGGGAAUUUCAGAGUGCCUGCCCCGGUUGACAUGCAUGAUCAGAGGGAUCGGAGACCCACUGGUGUCGGUGUAUGCCCGUGCCUACCUGUGCCGGGUGGGAAUGGAAGUGGCCCCACAUCUCAAAGAAACCCUAAAUAAGAACUUUUUUGACUUCCUCCUUACGUUCAAACAGGUA